AAUCCCCUUUUUGGAUUUUCUCAAGGUGGAUGAACGCUUGAAUGAACUCUUGAGAAGAAGAUGAUCUUUGAUUGAGGACUUCUUGAAGGCUUUGAAAGAUCUCUUGAUCAAGGUUGAACAAUAGGCUUGAAAAAUCCUCUCUUUGAAUGCUCUUGCUUUUCUCUUUCACAAUCUCUCUUGUAUAUUGUGGAUCCUCUCUCUUUUUCUUUUGGGUA
RNAcentral lists this long non-coding RNA (215 nucleotides) under Elaeis guineensis (African oil palm). Its description in RNAcentral is "long non-coding RNA (EGUI_LNC074791)". Lineage: Eukaryota; Viridiplantae; Streptophyta; Magnoliopsida; Arecales; Arecaceae. The record is from RNAcentral.